Molecule: long non-coding RNA, 866 nt
Organism: Macrosteles quadrilineatus (aster leafhopper)
Lineage: Eukaryota; Metazoa; Arthropoda; Insecta; Hemiptera; Cicadellidae
Exons: 2
Source: RefSeq, a predicted model, not a curated record
UGUCCACCAAGCGUCCCACCAAUGUCACGCCUCAGUGUUUUUUGUAUAGUACGAGUACUGGCUUUGCGCCGGAACUCAGUCGGUUUGGGUCGGGCAGCAAUCCUGCAACCCAGAGUCAAUGUCCGCCUUCUGUCACAUUUUCACCAGAAGGCCGGCGAUUGUCAAUUUGUAAAGACUUGGGUAUCUUCGAUGAAUAUCAGUGUUAAUCUUUCAAUGUCACUGUUAAUUUUGUUCAUCCGUUCUUCGUAGACUCUAGUCAUGGUUUAAGUGUUUUGCCAGACGUCAGAUGAGGUCCCAGAUGUGAGGCUUCACCUGCCGCUGUCCUCGGAGAGGUUCGCCCGGAGGGGCACUACAUCUUCUACCUCCUUGGGCUGCCAACGGCCCAGCAUCUCCGGGGACCACUAUGCCUCCAUCUUCCAGUAUGGACCACUAAGCCACCCACCGCCUGCCACCGUCAAGGAAUCUUGUGCCACUUUUCCGCAAGUUAUACUGUAGAAUAUCUAAAUUAUGAACAUUUUUAAAGGACUGUUUUUAAGGGGCCCCAAAAUGAUUGAUUAUCCAUUCUAGUAUUUCAUAGGAACUGUUAUUUAUUUGAUUGUUAUUUAUUUUUAUAGUAUCCAAAUUUUUAUUUAUUGCUUGUUAAUUUAUUUAAAGUUUAAUAUAACCGUACAAUCCUAUUUAAUUAUUGUUAGGCCUAACAUCCACAGUUACCACUAAAUUUGUAAGUUCAGGAGGGUAAAGUUUUGAGGAAGCUUAAAGUAUUUAAAUAUUUUUGAUAAAAUAAUUCUUUGGAUGGCUGCUUUGUUGUUUAUUGUUGAUUGUUUUUAUUGUUGAAUUUUGAGAUUAAUUAUAGGCUUUGUUGACAA